UACGUAGGGUGCAAGCGUUGUUCGGAAUUACUGGGCGUAAAGGGCGCGUAGGCGGGCUCGUAUGUCGAUUGUGAAAGCCCUGGGCUUAACCCGGGAAUGGCAGUCGAAACUGCGAGUCUUGAAUGCUUGAGAGGAUGGCGGAAUUCCCGGUGUAGAAGUGAAAUUCGUAGAUAUCGGGAAGAACACCUGAGGCGAAGGCGGCUAUCUGGCGAUGCAUUGACGCUGAGGCGCGAAAGCGUGGGGAGCAAACAGG
This 253-nucleotide ribosomal RNA is filed under the name uncultured bacterium. RNAcentral's name for it is "partial 16S ribosomal RNA". It matches the Rfam family "Bacterial small subunit ribosomal RNA", at positions 524 to 776 of the family's 1533-position model. The record is from RNAcentral.